RNAcentral lists this long non-coding RNA (843 nucleotides) under Malus domestica (apple). RNAcentral describes it as "long non-coding RNA (MDOM_LNC008238)". The record is from RNAcentral. Lineage: Eukaryota; Viridiplantae; Streptophyta; Magnoliopsida; Rosales; Rosaceae.
UUGGGAUUUAAGUAGGGCCUCCUACCCUGAUUCCCUCCCCAAUUCCCGUAUACUGUCAUUCACUCUCUCUCUUCCCUCACGACUCUCUCUCACUCUCAGUUCUCUCUCUCUUCCUCUCCGACGCUCAACCUCACCCAAAACCACCUAAAACAUAAACAAACGUCCAAGAUAAAGACCACAUUUGGACUCCUGGAACUUCCACAAUCACGUAGACAUCAAUUUCAGGUAAGUUCUACUUCGGAAAACCCUAGUUUUCAAAGUUCCCGUGAAAUGGCACUGUUCAUAAACUCUUAAAUGGUGGUGUUUUAGCUUAAAACAAGAUCACAGUGAGCUUAAGGAAGUCCCAAGGAAGCUCGGAGUGCUUCGUUGGAAGUUUUUGGACGUAAGAACACGGAGAUCGACAAGUUCAAAGUUUGGCCGGAGCUUUCGAGGCUCUUUCCGGCGAAUCCCCGGCGAGUUAGGAGUCGAGGUAGGUAUCAAUCUCUUCGUCUCGUCAAGUACUACAACUUUCCUUUUUGUUUCACUCAAUUUUGUUGAGUAUUGAAGAAGUUAUACUCAUUUGAAAAAUACCCAGUUUCCGGCGACCUCCGAGGCUUUCGAGGCAGUUUCCGGCCAAACAACGGCGAACUAGGUGUUGUGCAAGGUACCAUUCUCUUUGUCUCUUCAAGGGCUACAACUCUCGUUUUUGAAUCACUUGAUUUCGUUGAGAAAUGACAAAGUUAUGGCAAUUUGAAAAACUGCCCGGAAAACGGCCGCCGGAAAAACCAGUCCGGCGACCCAAGGAAGAAGAAGGUGCUACAGUAAAAAAAUAAAUAAAUAAAAAUAAAAUUAUUUUAAAAAUAU